RNAcentral lists this non-coding RNA (28 nucleotides) under Mus musculus (house mouse). Lineage: Eukaryota; Metazoa; Chordata; Mammalia; Rodentia; Muridae. The record is from RNAcentral.
UAGGAGAUACUCGUCACUAGAUGAGCUC